Molecule: long non-coding RNA, 807 nt
Filed under: Marmota monax (woodchuck)
Lineage: Eukaryota; Metazoa; Chordata; Mammalia; Rodentia; Sciuridae
Source: RNAcentral
CAGGGAGCUAGGCAGGCUGGGGCCAAGGUUUGGGGUUUGUAGAGAUCCCAGGGACUCUGAUGGACAUGGGAAAAGAAGACUGAGAGUCCUGCUGCCCUGAGGUCAUAAGGUGUCAGCAUGGUGGGGCAGCACUAGAAGAUACAAAGAAAGGAAAUAAAACAGGGGAGGAGGUUUUCUAAGGCCAUCUACUGACUGUGGAAGAACUAGGACCUCCUGACGGUUACAUUGAGACAUCACAUUUUGUAGCAUCUGGGCUGCUUCCCCACUAGGAAGAGCUAUAUUCAGAAUGACUUGAGAAUAAGCUUACCCAAGCUGGAUCCAUCUGCUCUGGGGAAUCCUGUUUCCACAUACUAACAUAUACCACACCCAUUUUUCUCUCCUUAUUAAACCAGCUCCCAGAGGAGGCUGCCAACACAGGCUGAAAGAGCUUGAUUGAUUGUCUGGGGCCCUGUGCAUCAAAAGAAACCUUCUCAUGAAUUUCCAAGGAAAACAAGCCCAGAGACCUUGGUGUUUUCCAGAUCUGGAGGGCAGAAUAGACUAGAAACGAGAGUUUCCAGCAACUCUGUUCCUGGUGCACCUCAGUCCAAAUUUAAUGUUUCUUUCCCUAUUCAGAGCUCCAGUUCCUUAGAAGGACAGUGACAACCUGAGAUAUGUUCAGAGAAGAGUGACUUAAGACUGAGAAGGACACAAAUCCAUGCCCUAAAGAAAUGGUUGAAGAAACCAAGAGAUGGCUGAGUGGCACAAGAUGGCUAUGUUCAGAUAUUUGAAAUGAUUAUCAUGGGAAAGGGAAAUUGAAGCUACGCUCCA